UAGGGAAUCUUCGGCAAUGGACGAAAGUCUGACCGAGCAACGCCGCGUGAGUGAAGAAGGUUUUCGGAUCGUAAAACUCUGUUGUUAGAGAAGAACAAGGACGUUAGUAACUGAACGUCCCCUGACGGUAUCUAACCAGAAAGCCACGGCUAACUACGUGCCAGCAGCCGCGGUAAUACGUAGGUGGCAAGCGUUGUCCGGAUUUAUUGGGCGUAAAGCGAGCGCAGGCGGUUUCUUAAGUCUGAUGUGAAAGCCCCCGGCUCAACCGGGGAGGGUCAUUGGAAACUGGGAGACUUGAGUGCAGAAGAGGAGAGUGGAAUUCCAUGUGUAGCGGUGAAAUGCGUAGAUAUAUGGAGGAACACCAGUGGCGAAGGCGGCUCUCUGGUCUGUAACCGACGCUGAGGCUCGAAAGCGUGGGGAGCAAACAGG
RNAcentral lists this ribosomal RNA (429 nucleotides) under Chloroflexota bacterium. Its description in RNAcentral is "Chloroflexi bacterium partial 16S ribosomal RNA". It matches the Rfam family "Bacterial small subunit ribosomal RNA", at positions 355 to 776 of the family's 1533-position model. The record is from RNAcentral. RNAcentral also lists the same sequence under 1 other name. Lineage: Bacteria; Bacillati; Chloroflexota.